Centropristis striata (black sea bass) is the source of this 649-nucleotide long non-coding RNA. RefSeq lists it as uncharacterized. NCBI's taxonomy places the organism in Eukaryota, Metazoa, Chordata, Actinopteri, Perciformes, Serranidae. The transcript is spliced from 3 exons. The record is from RefSeq and is a predicted model, not a curated record.
UUGCCAUGUGCUUUUAUCUCUACCCGCCUGCACCUUUUUCCAGUUACCUGUGGAUUAUAAGUUACUUCUGGCUGGACUUUCUGUCCGUUCCCAUAAGCUUUUAAAUCUUCACUUUUGUCAAUAAAUCACUGGACUGUCUCUGUCUGCCACACACUCAUCCCUGUGACUGUAACGGAUAUAAUCAGAGCCCCUCGACUGCCACAGGGGAUCAGCACGUAUAAGAAGAAGAAGAUCCUCGUGACUUCAGCGUACGCUUCAUACCAUCACGGAUGGACUCAUAAUUAAAACCUCUGAGCUACAGACCAGCUCACCUCGUCUCUGACAAGAACAGAUGGCCUGAACACGUCCAUCACCGGACCACCUGUAUCUGAAAGACACACGCACUUUAGACGAGGGAACUGAAACACACAAACGAUGUAAAACACAGUUUCUGUGUAGAAAUAGACUUGAGUGCUCUCACCAAUGUAGACGCGGUGUCUGACCCUACGGUCACGUCUGAGGGAAUCAAAAGUGCUGUGAUUAGUUUUUCUGCAUGUGAUUUGACUUUUGAUAUGACUCUUCUUUCUAAUCCUAGAAACCUUUUUCUAUGAAUGUUUAUAUCCCUUCUUACAUUAAAAAAGUUUUAUGUUAAACAAACCAUGCAUGCAGU